UACAGAGGGUGCGAGCGUUAAUCGGAAUUACUGGGCGUAAAGGGCGCGUAGGCGGCCAUCUAAGUCAGACGUGAAAUCCCCCGGCUUAACCUGGGAACUGCGUCUGAUACUGGAAGGCUUGAGUAUGGGAGAGGGAUGUAGAAUUCCAGGUGUAGCGGUGAAAUGCGUAGAUAUCUGGAGGAAUACCGGUGGCGAAGGCGGCAUCCUGGACCAUUACUGACGCUGAGGCGCGAAAGCUAGGGGAGCAAACGGG
This 253-nucleotide ribosomal RNA is filed under the name uncultured bacterium. Its description in RNAcentral is "partial 16S ribosomal RNA". It matches the Rfam family "Bacterial small subunit ribosomal RNA", at positions 524 to 776 of the family's 1533-position model. The record is from RNAcentral.